CCUACGGGUGGCAGCAGUGGGGAAUAUUGGGCAAUGGGCGCAAGCCUGAACCAGCAACGCAGCGUGAAGGAAGAAGGCUCUCGGGUUGUAAACCUCUUUUUAUAGGGACGUAGCAAGUGACGGUACUUGAGGAAUGAGUCACGGCUAACUACGUGCCAGCAGCCGCGGUAUUACGUAGGUGGCAAGCGUUCUCCGGAUUUACUGGGUGUAAAGGGCGUGUAGGCGGGUACGUAAGUCAGAUGUGAAAUCAAGGGGCUCAACCUUUAUCCUGCAUUUGACACUGUGUUUCUUGAGUACUGGAGAGGCAGACGGAAUUCGUGGUGUAGCGGUGAAAUGCGUAGAUAUUACGAAGAACACCGGUGGCGAAGGCAGUCUGCUGGACAGCAACUGACGCUGAGGCGCGAAAGCGUGGGGAUCAAACAGGAUUAGAUACCCGUGUAGUC
RNAcentral lists this ribosomal RNA (443 nucleotides) under uncultured bacterium. RNAcentral's name for it is "partial 16S ribosomal RNA". It matches the Rfam family "Bacterial small subunit ribosomal RNA", at positions 338 to 795 of the family's 1533-position model. The record is from RNAcentral.